UACAGAGGUCUCGAGCGUUAGGCGGAAUCACUGGGCUUAAAGCGUGUGUAGGCGGAUCGGUAAGUACCUUGUGAAAUCCCACAGCUUAACUGUGGAACUGCUUGGUAUACUGCCAGUCUUGAGCCAGCUAGGGGCUACCGGAACAAAUGGUGGAGCGGUGAAAUGCGUAGAUAUCAUUUGGAACGCCAAUGGUGAAAACAGGUAGCUGGGGCUGUGCUGACGCUGAGACACGAAAGCCAGGGGAGCAAGCGGG
RNAcentral lists this ribosomal RNA (253 nucleotides) under uncultured bacterium. Its description in RNAcentral is "partial 16S ribosomal RNA". It matches the Rfam family "Bacterial small subunit ribosomal RNA", at positions 524 to 776 of the family's 1533-position model. The record is from RNAcentral.